UACACAAGGUAAGUAAGAUGUUUAGGUGG
RNAcentral lists this non-coding RNA (29 nucleotides) under Homo sapiens (human). The record is from RNAcentral. Lineage: Eukaryota; Metazoa; Chordata; Mammalia; Primates; Hominidae.